CUCUAGCCUGGGCGACACAGCGAGACUCUGUCUCAAAAAUAAAAAGACAUAUAUGUGAAGCACAAACCAAGUGUGGGUCCGCUUCAAGAGGCUGGAACUAGAGCUUUGGACACAGCAAGUGAAAACCCUGCCCCAUGAGGCUCACAGGGUGGCAGCGUGCCUCACCCACCCUCUGUUCUUCUAGAUACCAUGAAAAUGUCACAUCUGCCGAUGUCCUCCAAAGUUGUUUACAGGUUUCAUUUGGUUAAGAGCUUGGUUUUAUAUACAUUGUGAGAAAAAUCACCAGUUCGGUGUGAAAAUUGAAAUGGGGGUAGACACUGGCCCCUUCCAAGCUGUGCCCCGGGAAGACCUCCCAGGCCAGCCCCAGUGGUGCUCUCAGGCGGGGUAUGGGGUUGUGAGGACAGACAGGGGCCCCUCUCAAGGUCUCUGCUGCUCCAUCGAAGACAGACCCCAGGGCUUCGGGAAAUCCACAGCCUGGUGGCACUGGCUCAUGCAGUCCUUUUCCUGUUUCUAGUGCUGAUGAGCGCUUUGACGCCACAUUCCACACUAACGUGUUGGUGAAUUCUUCCGGGCAUUGCCAGUACCUGCCUCCAGGCAUAUUCAAGAGUUCCUGCUACAUCGAUGUACGCUGGUUUCCCUUUGAUGUGCAGCAUUGCAAACUGAAGUUUGGGUCCUGGUCUUACGGAGGCUGGUCCUUGGAUCUGCAGAUGCAGGAGGCAGAUAUCAGUGGCUAUAUCCCCAAUGGAGAAUGGGACCUAGUGGGAAUCCCUGGCAAGAGGAGUGAAAAGUUCUAUGAGUGCUGCAAAGAGCCCUACCCCGAUGUCACCUUCACAGUGACCAUGCGCCGCAGGACGCUCUACUAUGGCCUCAACCUGCUGAUCCCCUGUGUGCUCAUCUCUGCCCUCGCCCUGCUGGUGUUCCUGCUUCCUGCAGAUUCCGGGGAGAAGAUUUCCCUGGGUAAGUGCCCCGAUGUCUGGCGGGAGUCUGAGACUGGAGGCCCUAUGCUGAUGAGGUCAGCUCUGGAGGGCUCACGGCGGACAGCGCAGGACUCUAUCAGGUUUCCUAGGGAUUCCCUGGCUCAUCCCACAUGGACCUCCUAGCCCAGGGUGGCUCCAGGACACCAGAGGUCCCUGAUUCGGGCUCCGUGCUGGACGGCUGUGUGAUCCUGAGAAUACUGGAGGACCCUCAGAGGAUGGGGGAUGCACGGGGAGGGGCCAGCUCCAUUCUGCCAAGAGGGGCCUGUGCUUUCUUCCCUCCUGCCACCCCACCUGUUCCUCGAUGGCGACUGGUCAUCGAGGGAACAAUUUAGCCUAGUAUCAGCUUGCAUUUGUAUGUUACAGUACCCAGUGUAAUUCUUAUGAUCACUCCCAUACGAAGCUAAGGAAACCAAGAUUUUGAAUGGUGGAAUGAGUUUCCCAAUGUCUUAAAGAGUUACUAAACAUCAGAUGUAGCAUAUGGUAGAAAUCAUUCCCAAACCCGUAUCUUCUGAGUAUGAGGUUCAGAAAGGUUGAAUGUUAUAUCUAAGGUCACAUAGCUAGCUCAGUAGCAAAUGUAAGACCUGAAACCAGGUCUCCUGACUGCAUAUUUUCUUUUUCCUGCUACGUGAAACUACUUCUCAAUAAUAUUUUACAAAGAAUAUGAGAGAUAAUUGUGCCAAGUUAAAUUUUUCAGUUUGUGUUGAUGCUUUUAAAAUUCUGGGUCCUAAACUUGUCUCCAUAAGAGACUCCUUUGGGACUCUGGUAAGUGGCAUGGAAUGUCCCCUGGAAAAUGCACACGCCCGUACACAGGGAAAACGUGCAUUCCACGACAUUCCCCCCCAGCGCCUCCCUAGUUCUUUCGAGUGUCAGGUUAGGAGCCCUCCUUAGACAGAAUUGAGGCCUUCUUGUCUGCUUUGUCUGAGGAGCCGCUGUGUGUUUAUGUUUUAGGGAUAACAGUCUUACUCUCUCUCACUGUCUUCAUGCUGCUGGUAGCCGAGAUCAUGCCCGCAACAUCCGAUUCGGUACCACUGAUAGCCCAGUACUUCGCCAGCACCAUGAUCAUCGUGGGCCUCUCAGUGGU
RNAcentral lists this small RNA (2058 nucleotides) under Pongo abelii (Sumatran orangutan). RNAcentral's name for it is "retained intron". Lineage: Eukaryota; Metazoa; Chordata; Mammalia; Primates; Hominidae. The record is from RNAcentral.